RNAcentral lists this transfer RNA (62 nucleotides) under Tipula flavolineata. Its description in RNAcentral is "tRNA-Cys". The record is from RNAcentral. Lineage: Eukaryota; Metazoa; Arthropoda; Insecta; Diptera; Tipulidae.
AGCUUUAUAGUCAAUAAUGAUAUUAGACUGCAAUUCUAAAGGUGUGAUAAUUACUAAGGCUU